GACGAACGCUGGCGGCGUGCUUAACACAUGCAAGUCGAACGGAAAGGCCCUGCUUUUGUGGGGUGCUCGAGUGGCGAACGGGUGAGUAACACGUGAGUAACCUGCCCUUGACUUUGGGAUAACUUCAGGAAACUGGGGCUAAUACCGGAUAGGAGCUCCUGCUGCAUGGUGGGGGUUGGAAAGUUUCGGCGGUUGGGGAUGGACUCGCGGCUUAUCAGCUUGUUGGUGGGGUAGUGGAUUACCAAGGCUUUGACGGGUAGCCGGCCUGAGAGGGUGACCGGCCACACCGGGACGGAGAUACGGCACAGACUCCUACGGGACGCAGCGGUGGGGAAUAUUGCACAAUGGGCGGAAGCCUGGUGCAGCAACGCCGCGUGCGGGAUGACGGGCUUCGGGUUGUAAACCGCUUUCGCCUGUGACGAAGCGUGAGUGACGGUAAUGGGUAAAGAAGCACCGGCUAACUACGUG
Molecule: ribosomal RNA, 468 nt
Filed under: uncultured bacterium
Lineage: Bacteria
Description: partial 16S ribosomal RNA
Rfam family: Bacterial small subunit ribosomal RNA
Source: RNAcentral